UCCAGAGGGUGCGAGCGUUAAUCGGAAUUACUGGGCGUAAAGCGCACGUAGUCGGCUUUGCAAGUCGGUUGUGAAAUCCCCGGGCUCAACCUGGGAACUGCAUCCGAGACUGCAUUGCUAGAGUAUGGGAGAGGAAAGCGGAAUUUCUGGUGUAGCAGUGAAAUGCGUAGAUAUCAGAAGGAACAUCAGUGGCGAAGGCGGCUUUCUGGACCAAUACUGACGAUCAGGUGCGAAAGCGUGGGGAGCAAACAGG
RNAcentral lists this ribosomal RNA (253 nucleotides) under uncultured bacterium. Its description in RNAcentral is "partial 16S ribosomal RNA". It matches the Rfam family "Bacterial small subunit ribosomal RNA", at positions 524 to 776 of the family's 1533-position model. The record is from RNAcentral.